RNAcentral lists this ribosomal RNA (440 nucleotides) under uncultured bacterium. Its description in RNAcentral is "partial 16S ribosomal RNA". It matches the Rfam family "Bacterial small subunit ribosomal RNA", at positions 338 to 795 of the family's 1533-position model. The record is from RNAcentral.
CCUACGGGAGGCAGCAGUGGGGAAUAUUGCACAAUGGGGGAAACCCUGAUGCAGCGACGCCGCGUGAGUGAAGAAGUAAUUCGUUACGUAAAGCUCUAUCAGCAGGGAAGAAAAUGACGGUACCUGAGUAAGAAGCCCCGGCUAACUACGUGCCAGCAGCCGCGGUAAUACGUAGGGGGCAAGCGUUAUCCGGAUUUACUGGGUGUAAAGGGCGCGUAGGCGGGGCGCCAAGUCUGGAGUGAAAUGCCGAAGCUUAACCGCGGAACUGCUUUUGAAACUGGCGAACUAGAGUGUGGGAGGGGUAAGCGGAAUUCCUAGUAUAGCGGUGAAAUGCGUAGAUAUUACGAGGAACACCGAUGGCGAAGGCGGCUUGCUGGACCGUAACUGACGUUGAGGCUCGAAAGCGUGGGGAGCAAACAGGAUUAGAUACCCGGGUAGUC